UAAGGAAUAUUGCUCAAUGGGAGAAAUCCUGAAGCAGCAACGCCGCGUGGAGGAUGAAGGGUCUAUGACUUGUAAACUCCUGUAAAGAAGGAAAAAAUUCCCAUUAGAUGGGAGAUGAUGGUACUUCUGGAGUAAGCCCCGGCUAACUACGUGCCAGCAGCCGCGGUAAUACGUAGGGGGCAAGCGUUGUCCGGAUUUACUGGGUGUAAAGGGUGCUCAGGCGGAUUUGUAAGUCAGAGGUGAAAUCUUACAGCUUAACUGUGAAACUAACUUUGAUACUGCAAGCCUAGAGUAUGGAAGAGNGUGAUGGAAUAUCUGGUGUAGCAGUGAAAUGCGUAGAUAUCAGAUAGAACACCAAUGGCGAAGGCAGUCACUUGGUCCAUUACUGACGCUAAAGCACGAAAGCG
Molecule: ribosomal RNA, 407 nt
Filed under: uncultured bacterium
Lineage: Bacteria
Description: bacterial SSU rRNA
Rfam family: Bacterial small subunit ribosomal RNA
Source: RNAcentral